This 121-nucleotide ribosomal RNA is filed under the name Castor canadensis (American beaver). The record is from RNAcentral. Lineage: Eukaryota; Metazoa; Chordata; Mammalia; Rodentia; Castoridae.
UCUAAGCCCAUACCACCCUGAUCACGCCAGAUCCCAUCUGAUCUUUAAAGCUAGACAGGGUAGGACCUGGUUAAUACUUGGAUGGGAGACAGCCUAGUGGCAACCCUUGAGGUGUUUAAAA